RNAcentral lists this long non-coding RNA (1760 nucleotides) under Coffea arabica (coffee). Its description in RNAcentral is "long non-coding RNA (CARA_LNC000056)". Lineage: Eukaryota; Viridiplantae; Streptophyta; Magnoliopsida; Gentianales; Rubiaceae. The record is from RNAcentral.
GGUUUCUUUUCAAAGAUUAGUUUUAACAAAGCCUGGUUUUGAGCAAAUUGGAAGAGACCAAAAUUCUGGAUUUUCUCUGCAUCUCCCCACUGAAAGAUUUUGAACAUCUUAAAAACUCAACCUGUCACCUUCUAUUUGGCCAAGCAUGAAAUUAUUAGCAACGGUGCAUACACAACUAGAGCCUCUCUGUUUGAAUGUGUUAGCAAAUGUUUCAUUGGAUGUGCAAUGCUAGAUGUACAUGGAAGCAUUCGUCAUUUUUUUGUCAUUGAUAUUGCCAGUCUGAAUGGACAACAUUAAAGCUAAUCAAGAAACAGUUGUGAAGAAAAUUCAAGAAGCAAUUUGCUAUGCUUUGGGACUCUGUGUUCUUAUUUCCUUGAAGUUCAAAUAUGUUUGUUGAUGAACUGGAGUGCUGCAAACCUUCACCCCUCACAAUUGGUGAUCAUGCUUCAUAAGAAUGACAAUAAUAUGGGAUGGUUUUUUUGUUCUGUGAGCUGAAUUACUAUAUUGUUACCUUGUCUAGCAGUGACCGAACAAGAAGGCAAUAAUGGUGCUCAAACAUUAGUUUCAUGUUGAUUCCCAUCCUUGCUGAAGAAGGAGAAACCAGAAGGUAUGAUGGUUCUCAAACAUCAGCUUCUCUCCCCAAGAACUCUUUUUAACCUCCGCCCAAUUUAUUAAAAAUACAAGGAAACUAGUGCAAGUUUUUAUCAAAGUAUGCUUGAGUCAUGCAAUUUGCCAGAAAACAGGGUGUUUUUUUUGUACUUUUGAACAUUUGUCCUGUGCUAUAUAGCUUAGUUUUUAAUCUUUAAGAUUGUACAUUUACUAGGUGCUUAACAUGUCAUUUGAUUGUGAAAGAAGCUGGUUUAUUCCAUUUUCUUGUACUGGUUACUAGACCAUACCUUUUCUUUGCGUUCCUUAGCUGUCAUAACUGAAUUCAUACUGAAAUGUAACAUUACGAUGGUAUUUUCCAGAGUCUUAGAAAGCAGACCUCAUGUUGUUGGACAAAGACACCACCCUUUGCUGUUGCAUUUCUUACAAGAUUGCCAGGGGGCGGAAGUUAUUUUCCCUCACUAGACAGGUUUGAAGAUGAAGUUAGUAAUCAAUGACGAGAAUUUUGCACAUCAGAGAGCGCUAGCUUUGAUGGAGGCUUCGCCAAUAGGUGGUUCUCCCCACAUUUCCCAAACAUAAUUUUUUGCUCAUCUCCUGCUCGGGCUGCAGAAAGAAAGGUAAUAAUUUAGCUUGUUCAUCUUCAAGGCAGUUUUGAUAGUUUUUAUCUGCAUUCUUGAUAUGUAUUUCGUAAAUCAAUUACCAAAACUUUUUUUUUCCCUUUGGUGUAACAUGCUGAUUGCUGAACAAAUUGAAAGAGACCAAAAUUCUGUGUUUUCUCUACCUCUCUGAACUACUGAAAGAUUGGAACAUCUUAAAUCUCUUUAACUUCAACUUGUUACCUUCUAUUUGGCCAAGCACAAAUUUAUUAGCAAUGGUUCACACCCAAUUAGCCUCUUCGUUUGAAUGUGGUACAAAAUGUUUCAUUUGAUUUGCAAUGCUAGAUGUACAUGGACACAUUCUUCAUUUUUCUGUCACUGAUAUUGCCAGUCUCAAUGGAUAACAUUAAAGCUAGUUGAGAAAUGAUUUUCAAAGAAAAUUCAUGAUACAAUUUGCUGUUCUUUGGAACUCUGUGUACUUAUUGCCAUAAAAUUAGAUCAGUCUAAUUGAACUUCAAAUAUGUAUGUGGAGGAACUAGAGUGCUGUGAACAUUCACC